AUUGAGGUAGCAAAGAAGGUAUUAAUGCAAAAAGGCCUAAACCCUUUAAUCAGGGGUUCAACCCCCUCCCCAAUA
This 75-nucleotide transfer RNA is filed under the name Phrynops hilarii (snake-necked turtle). RNAcentral describes it as "tRNA-Leu". It matches the Rfam family "tRNA". From Rfam's summary of the family: Transfer RNA (tRNA) molecules are approximately 80 nucleotides in length. The record is from RNAcentral. Lineage: Eukaryota; Metazoa; Chordata; Testudines; Chelidae.